RNAcentral lists this transfer RNA (71 nucleotides) under Rattus norvegicus (Norway rat). It matches the Rfam family "tRNA". Rfam says of the family: Transfer RNA (tRNA) molecules are approximately 80 nucleotides in length. Their secondary structure includes four short double-helical elements and three loops (D, anti-codon, and T loops). Lineage: Eukaryota; Metazoa; Chordata; Mammalia; Rodentia; Muridae. The record is from Rfam by way of RNAcentral.
GUGUAUGUAGCUCAGUGGUAGAGCAUUUGCCUAGCAUGCAGAAGGCCCUGGGUUCAAGCCCCUGCACCACA